GGGACGGCAGCGGGAGCCGGGGCCGGGGCUGAGCCGCGCUGGGGAGCGGGGAGCGAGGAGCGAGGAGCGGAGCUGCUCUGGAGGGGCGAUGCGGGCGGGAAGGUGCCGCGCUGCCGGCUGCGCCUGAGCCGGAGCAUCCCGAGCGGGAGCAUCCGGGCGGCGUCAGCCGUCUGCUUUUCGAGGGAGGUGGACGCUCCGGGUUUGGGGUGUUUUUUCCUGUCCCCGCCCUCACCAGGUGCGCGUUGUUCGUGCUGUCGGUGCCAGCGGAGGCUCGGCGAGCGCGGCUGCCCGGCGGCCGAGCGCUGUUGCUCGCACGCUCCCGCAGCGCCGGGGCCGCUCGCUGCCGCUGUCCGGCGCCGAGCGCUGCCGCGCCGGCUGAGGCGGGUCCCGGCGGCUUUGGGAAGCUGCUGUGCGCCCUGGAACAGCUCUCGCCGCGCCUCGCCCCUGCUGCUGCUCCGAGGGAGCAUCUUUAGCCGUUUGCCUGUCCUGUGCUGUGACCAAGGGCAUUUGAUUUUCACAAGCGUUUAACCGAGGGUCUUUUCUCAGCAUGCAGUCCCUUUAGAUUUGGGCAUGAUCACCAACCACAUCCUCUGCACUGGAUAUUUGGCCUCUAUUUCCACAUCUUCUUCCUGCUUGUACCAUCACAUGUGCAAUAGUGGCUAGCUUUGGCAUGGCUGCCCAGGCGUGGAACUGCUGGUACCUGCAGCUGGCCUCUUACUCAGUGAUGCCUUGCCUGAUCCCUCACCUUCUCAGUUUGUCCUUCUUCUGGUGAAUGCCACCUCAUCCAUCUCCUACUUACCACAGGAUAAAAGGAAAUAUGAAAAAACUCCCAAUUGAGCCCACCUGAAGUAAGAGUGGUUGUCCUGGUUGUCCUCAUCUGUGAAAGAUGCAGCUUUGUGCUCCUGCAUAUCUUGCAGGCUGUUGGGAUGCUUGAUUGAGACCACCAAAAUCUCCACUAUAAAACAGCAAUAAACAAUAAAACAACAUCUGGAAUGUAACCUUUUGUCCAUAGCCCUUAGAUAGUCCUCUCAUGCUUGCUGGGCUGGCAGGGCUGCCCAUUCCUUGGGACUCUGCUUGUAGGUGUCAGAAGCUGAAACAUGCCUGCCUUUGAGAUCUCCAUGGCAGAAUAACAGCAAGUUCUGAAGGAUAAAAUAUUAAAUUGUCUUGGGCUUGAGGAGUAAAGGAUAAAUUCAUUCACUGGCUGACUUGUCAUCUCACCGUUGUGAUGGAAAAAUGUUCACUUAAAAUAAACCCUUUUCAUGCCACUAAAACUGCCUUCGCAUACAAGAUCUGUUGUGAUUUUUAAAACACAAACCCAAUAAUGUCCGAACCCGACCCUUCAUCUGGAUUUGUGGGAAACAUGGAAAAUGGGACUUUUCUGGAGCUGUAUCCCACAUCCCUUUCAACUUCAGUGGAUUCAUCACCUGGCCGUUUAUCCAACGUCUAUGUCUAUGUUUCUAUAUUCCUUAGUCUCUUAGCUUUUCUUCUUUUGCUACUGAUCAUUGCACUUCAGAGGCUGAAAAACAUAAUUUCUUCCAGUUCCUCCUACCCUGAAUACAAUAGUGAUGCUGGAAGUUCGUUCACUAAUUUAGAGGUUUGCAGUAUUUCUUCCCAGCGCUCUGCUCUCUCAAACCUGUCUUCAUGAAAACAAAUGAAAGGAAACACACGGGGAAUGGAAGAGCUUUGUCUAGUUUCUUGGGGAAGUAGUGCAUGUAACAUUUGCCUUAGAAGACUAUUAUCAAGAGGUGUUUUUAAAAGUUUCCUUAUUUUUUCCCCUUUCCUUUUCUAGUUUUCAUUUCCCCUUUAACUAAUUUUCAUCUUGAACAACGGAUAAUGAAUGAUACCUGAUCAUCAUUUCUUGCCUGUAAUAGUGAUGCUGUCUCUUUCUCACACGUAGAUGGUGUUCAUUAAGAGUAUUCCUGCCAAAUUGUAAUACAGUUCUAACUGGAUGUGUCAUUUUUCUGCUAUAAUUGUGACCCCUUCCCUAGUCUUGUGUCAGCAAUAUGCUGACUAUUUUUCCUUUUCCUUUUUUAAUUAUAUAAGGUGUUCUGGGUGAAAUCCCUAUUGCAAAAGUACAAAAUUCUGCUUAAAUUAUAAAUAUUGAGACAAUUUAAAGUUGUUGAUAAUGUUUCCUUUUUUUUUUCUUUUUAGUUUUCACAUAUUUUUCAGUGUUUAUUGAUGUUUAUAAAACACAACUAAUUCUUGAAGAAUGUUGCUUUUGUUUUUUUGUACUCCCAACGUGUUCUGUAUAAAGUCUGUAUUUCAGUUUUUGAGUCUCUUUGGUUAACUUAGUAAAGCAACUACAAUGACUAUGCUCACAGUUGAAUGUGUGAAGGUAUUUUUGGACCCUGUUGCAUCUCAUGAUCUCAUUUGCCUAAUGACAUGUUCCUCCAGGGGGCAGCUUUUGCUGCCUAAUCAUAAAUACCACACAACUCUUUUUCAUUCUUCACAGAUACUACAGCUUAUUCUUCCUGGAUACCAGGACAAGCUAGUGGUUUCUUGUAAAAGGCCUGAAUUUAACAAAAACAAGUAGGAAGUUAAGAGCUCCUAAACUGUCCUUUACGCACAUGAUGUUUGUACUCACAUGAGCAGGGCCAGCAGGGACAGAAACUGCUUGUACUGGUGAGGACCUUCUGGGCCAGGCUUUGUCCUGUGAUUUCAGAAAUGUGCAUUGGGUGGAGGGGGGCACACAGGGACCUGCACAAUGGCCAGGAAGACCUGAGCUCUGACCUGCAGGAAGUGCAAGGUGUACCUGCAGAGGGUAGGAAAAGAUGGGCAGGAUAAAUGGCAGUGGCUCUGCCACUUUUCCCCAUCAGCAUAAGGGCAGGCCAACGAGAGGGGAAGAGAAAUGGAUUCACAAUCUCUCUCCUCUUUGCCAUGCCAUUUUCUAGGUUAUCAUUUCCCCUGCUCAAAGUGUAACAUGUCACUCCAUUUCUGCAGUAAAAUAAUGAGCAGCUUUGUGAACUGGAUCCUGUGGUCAGCAGGGCUUUAAAUCAAGCCAAACAUUCAAAUUAGUGAUCUGAAGUGCCAAGUGUGACCUACUAGAACUGCAACCACAGACUGGUGCAAUGCCUUGUUGUCCUUAUUGCACUGUGAGCACAGUUCCAUCCUGCCACCCAGCCCAUGCAAAUAUUGUGCUCCUGGCUGGAUUCAAGUCACUGGAGAGACCUAAGAAAGGUAUGGCAUUGUCACUGCAUUUUCUGUUACUGACAAAACACAGGUGUAACUCCGGGAGGUGGGAUUAUCUCAGCAGGAGCAGCUGCUCUCCCCUCACAUGGCACCACUGCCCAGCAGGCCAAGGGCUUAGGGAACACUUCCCAAACACAUUUAUACCUCUUGAUGAGCUGGCCAUGCAUUUAUAAACAAGACAGACUCUGCCAUUAUCUACACAGGCUUUAAAAUACAAAUUUGGAAAGUCUGGUAUAAAUAUAAUCAUUAGAAAUGCAGCUGCUGUUGCCAAACAAUACAGAUGAUGCUGGAGUUGGUGUUUUUGGAUUUUAAAAGUGGACAUGCAUUAUGGUAAGUGGUAAUGACUUAUGGUGGUGAUUAGUUCCUUACAGAGUCGAAAGAACUUGCUGACUAAUAAAGAAUGUAAGCCUGCAGAUUCCGUGAGCCAGACUGGUUUGAUGGAUAUAUUUACAGCUUGGAAUAUUCUAUUCAUCUAGAGAAAAGUUUACUGUAUGUAACUUUUUACUGUAUUUGACAACUGGCCUUGGAAAAAGAGGUUGUUGCUUAAAAGGGAUCAGGAAACAUUAUUUCCCUUCUGAAGUCUCUUUGAAAUCCCAAACCUGUUGCAGAAUGUAUUUGUAUGUUGACCAGUAGAUAGAAAUAAACAAACUGUAAAUCAA
Molecule: non-coding RNA, 3848 nt
Organism: Taeniopygia guttata (zebra finch)
Lineage: Eukaryota; Metazoa; Chordata; Aves; Passeriformes; Estrildidae
Source: RefSeq, a predicted model, not a curated record